AUUGAACGCUGGCGGCAGGCCUAACACAUGCAAGUCGAGCGAGCGGCGGACGGGUGAGUAAUGUCUGGGAAACUGCCUGCUGGAGGGGGAUAACUACUGGAAACGGUAGCUAAUACCGCAUAACAUCAGAUGUGCCCAGAUGGGAUUAGCUAGUAGGUGGGGUAACGGCUCACCUAGGCGACGAUCCCUCGCUGGUCUGAGAGGAUGACCAUCCACACUGGAACUGAGACACGGUCCAGACGCCGACGGUAGUAAGCAGGGGGGAAUAUGGCACAAUGGGCGCAAGCUUGAUGCAGCCAUGCCGCGUGGGUGAAGAAGGCCUUCGGGUUUGAAAGCACUUUCAGCGGGGAGUCGUUACCCGCAGAAGAAGCACCGGCUAAGUCCGUGACAGCAGGCGCGGUAAUUC
RNAcentral lists this ribosomal RNA (406 nucleotides) under uncultured bacterium. RNAcentral describes it as "partial 16S ribosomal RNA". It matches the Rfam family "Bacterial small subunit ribosomal RNA", at positions 30 to 526 of the family's 1533-position model. The record is from RNAcentral.